This 2438-nucleotide long non-coding RNA is filed under the name Triticum aestivum (bread wheat). RNAcentral's name for it is "long non-coding RNA (TAES_LNC025770)". The record is from RNAcentral. Lineage: Eukaryota; Viridiplantae; Streptophyta; Magnoliopsida; Poales; Poaceae.
UAGCACACAAUUUAUACAUGCACUUCAAAGUAACAUAUAGGCCUCAUCGAAAACCUUAAACUUCAUUCGAUAAUCAUAACGACCAUAUAUAAAGAGGUUGUGCCACAAAAGAAGUACAUAUAUAUGUUUGCCACACAACAAAAAUAAAGUAGUGCCGCUAGAAAUGUACAUAUGUUUAUAAAUGUGUGCCACACAACCUAAAUGAGCUAAUUAACAACCACCAAAAUGAGCAGAGCAAGUCUCAAGUUCAACAAACAAGACACAGGUCAUUAUCACUCCACCAACUUAAUUUUAGGUCUUCCAAAUCUUUAGCAGCUUAAAGAUCUUCCAAACCUUAGUGAACUUGUGCACCUUUGGGAAACCUACAAUAGAUCAGAAGAUGUUACAUAUAACAGUUGCAGUCAGAACUCAACGAAGAUUUUACAACAAUCGCAUAUAACAGCCGCAUAUGUUCUAAAAUAUAGAGCAACCAGUAACAUAUCUUGAGUAAUCUCUUCGAGAACAUGUCCUGGACAUCAACAUGUCCAUUUUUUAUCAUCUUAAUAGUAGCAAGCUUAUCUUCUCAUCAAAAUGUAGUGUGCAAAGUCUGUACAAAUAUUAAUGGGAAGAUGUUACAACAAUCACAUACAACAUCCGCAUGCCGACAUACAACAGCCACAUAUGUUCUGAAACAUAGAGCAACUAGUAACAUAUCUAGAGUAAUCUCUACUUUAGUAGAGAACAUAUCCUGGACAUCAACAUGUCCAUUUUUUCUCAUCUUGACAGUAGCAAGCUUAUCUUACUUCUCAUCUAGAUAUACUGUGCAAAGUCCGUACAAAUAUUAACAGCAAGUAGGUGUGCCUAUCUUGUACAACAAAAGUGAGGCUAUUCAUGUACCAAAGUAAAGCGAACAGAAUUGAUGACCAUUUUGAUUGUUUUCUACAUUUUGAAGCACAAGCACAAGGUCACGAUCACACACUGAACAUUAAACAAGCAAAUUUUGAAGCUACUGUACUGAACAAGCACAUAUGCAAAAUUAUAGCAUCUUAUUUUCACUUGGUACUAUUUCUCUACCAGAACGCAUCAAGUGUUUAGUUGUGCUUCUCAAAAUUUCGUAUGUCGUAUACCUUGGCUUCUUCAAAGUAAUACAAUUAAACAUUAGUAUUGGAACCUGCAGAUUCAAUGUGCUAGUGCAGUCUCUAGUUGGCCCUGAUAUUGAGACUGACCUUGGAUAUAAGUUGAUUUAUUUUGAGUUCCUAUAUGAAGUUGGCACAACAUAAUAGGAUAAUGAAUCUGGAAAUCUAUAAAUGACGAUAUCAUUUUGUGGUUUUGCGUGGUACCGUGUUACUGAGAGCAAUGACGACAACUAUGCUUACAGACUUCCUGCAUCUAGAACACGAAGCUGAACUACAUUUCUCCUAUUGAAGAAUCCGAUGAAGUGGUGUAUUGGGAGUAUUGUGACUUUCACUGAAGCAUUGCACAAACAAGCCUUUUAAUUUCUGCUCCCUCUUUGCAGGAGCUAUUAAAGUUGAGUUACAUAAAUGAUUCGCUGGCUACACAAAAUAAGAGGGGAACUAGCUGGAGCAUAUAUUUCAGGAUCUUUUAAUGGGGAGCUGUUUAGUUUCCCGGUUCCAUGCUUUUGUUGGACAAGUUACAAACGAAGGUCCCCUAAAAUGGUACUCCCUCCAUCCCAAAAUAAGUGUAUCAACUUUGUACUAACUUUAGUAUAAAGUUGUACUAAAGUUAUGAGACGUGUUUUGGGACGGAGGGAGUAUCUGAAUAGUGGACAAGCCCACAGAUUUACAAAUCCAGUGAAACACUAUGAACAUUUGGUUCAAUAAAUAUUUUUUAUUGGUUCACUUUCCUAUACCUCGCACAACAAGUUGAAUUAGCCUAGAAAAAUAAACCAAGGCUUUUGACAAACAAACAAACAAGCUGAAAUACUUCAUGUACAUGAAAGAAAGAGGAUCCAAUUACGAGAAAUGAAUCAAAUGAAAGUUGUGAGCAUGGAAUCCAAUGAAAAUCAUUUCUCUACAUGGUAGAGUCUAUCGUGUACAUGAAAGAAACAUGAACCAAUUGAAGUUUAUAUUUGUAACCAUAUUUAUUCAACUGGCCUCUCUACAAAUUCAUGGCUGAUGGACACAAAAGCACACUUCUAAAGAACUAUAAUGAUCUGUUUGAAUUACUAAUUAAUAAUAUAUACUAGAAUCAGGAGCUCAAGUUUCCUGGACACAAGUUAACCAUGUAGCAACCAAAUGAGCAAAGAAUUACUAUUUGUCCUUGAUAGUACACACUAAUGUAAAUAUUCAGGCAAGAAAACAUGUAUAUUACCUCCUCAGCUUGCUUGUGGUCGCAACACAUUGCUGCAUUUGCCAUUAACUGACUUCCAACUGCAUACAUAGAAGCAAAAGAGUUUUAAGCAAUCAACCAUGAUAGUCAGUGUAUAUUUAAUCAUAGGA